AGACACCUACGCAGACGCGAAAGUGAAAGGGGGGCGACUGGGCCCGGCAGGCGGGCGGCCGGCGGCGCGCGGGCACGCGGCAGGGGACAGAGGAUGGAUGGGUGAACCCGGAUCCCGGGAUUCUCCCGCGCCCGCUGCCCCUCUGCGGAGCCUCCCCGGAGUCCCACGCCCCCACCCCGGCCACGGAGAUCACCACGUCAGGAGAUAUGUAUGCGUGUGCAUGUGUGUGCGCGCGUGUUCACGCGCGUGUGCGAGAUCUGGUCGUGCUUUACUUAUUAUGUGGUCCAUUAGGAACUGCUGUCUUUCUCCAUGAACUUACCUUCCUGAAUACCAUGAUGCUUUUAGGAAUGGGCACUUGGUUCAACCAGGACAAAUGGAAUCUUUCUCUUGAUUUUUUGGAGCUGAAGAACGAGGUAAAAGCCUUUUCCCCAUGGAUAGUGAGCCAGAAAUCUGCUGAAUCACUCCAGCCCCUGGGUAAAGAAAGCACAUUUUCAGGAGAAGAAAUUAAAACCAACCUAUACAGAGAAGCAGAGAUCAGAAACAGACAAUUCUGAUAGUAUUUGGACCCCUGGUUCUUUUUUCUGAGACCACUCCCAAAGCUUCCUUGCUUUCCAAAGCAUAUUUGUUAGAGCAUCUUCUGGUUCUUAUUGGAUAAGGUCCAAACUCUUGAGUCUGACAAUCUUGCAUUUCCAGCACCAGUCAGCCUUAUUUUGCUUCUAGCUUCCCAGUCAAGAGUUGCCUUCUACCAGAUGCCACGCUCAUUUUCAGUUGUGUGGUUUUCUUGAAUGACUUCUUGCCUCCUCUCUCUGUAAUACUAAUUAUUGCCUUUCUUCAGGGUCUAGUUCAACAUCUAUCUGCUCUAUUAAAGCCCUUCUUGAUUGAUCUUUUCCUUCUCUGAACUAUGGUAGCCUUUUUAUUCCCAGCUUUUCUACAUGGUCUGAAACAUAUUUAUCUUUCUGCCUUGGUUUCUUUUGCUAUGUAUUUUGUGUGUAAGAUUUUUUUUCGUGUGUUUAUUUACUUAAAAACUUGUACCAGUUAUCAGUUAUCUUGGGACAUAGUACUAACUAUAAAUGCAAUUAAAAGUCUGAGAAGAAAGAUAAUUGGAGAUUGGAAGUCAAAUAAGU
This 1124-nucleotide long non-coding RNA is filed under the name Homo sapiens (human). RNAcentral's name for it is "non-protein coding lnc-ARHGAP10-5:7". The record is from RNAcentral. Lineage: Eukaryota; Metazoa; Chordata; Mammalia; Primates; Hominidae.